AGUGAACGCUGGCGGCAGGCCUAACACAUGCAAGUCGAGCGGCAGCGGGUCCUUCGGGAUGCCGGCGAGCGGCGGACGGGUGAGGAAUACAUCGGAAUCUGCCCUGUCGUGGGGGAUAACCUAGGGAAACUUAGGCUAAUACCGCAUACGACUUACGGGUGAAAGCGGGGGAUCGCAAGACCUCGCGCGACAGGAUGAGCCGAUGUCCGAUUAGCUAGUUGGCGGGGUAAAGGCCCACCAAGGCGACGAUCGGUAGCUGGUCUGAGAGGAUGAUCAGCCACACUGGGACUGAGACACGGCCCAGACUCCUACGGGAGGCAGCAGUGGGGAAUAUUGGACAAUGGGCGCAAGCCUGAUCCAGCCAUGCCGCGUGGGUGAAGAAGGCCUUCGGGUUGUAAAGCCCUUUUGUCCGGGAAGAAAUCGUCUGGGCUAAUACCCCGGGCGGAUGACGGUACCGGAAGAAUAAGCACCGGCUAACUUCGUG
This 484-nucleotide ribosomal RNA is filed under the name uncultured bacterium. RNAcentral describes it as "partial 16S ribosomal RNA". It matches the Rfam family "Bacterial small subunit ribosomal RNA", at positions 30 to 507 of the family's 1533-position model. The record is from RNAcentral.